GGUGCCUGUGGUGCGGACUGAUACUCCCCUCGCCGGUGUCAUGGGCAAAGCCCCCCAGCUUUGCGCCUUGGUUCAAGGCCAGGAUGGCGUUG
This 92-nucleotide transfer RNA is filed under the name Sphingobium sp. BS19. RNAcentral's name for it is "tRNA-Thr". The record is from RNAcentral. Lineage: Bacteria; Pseudomonadati; Pseudomonadota; Alphaproteobacteria; Sphingomonadales; Sphingobiaceae.